RNAcentral lists this long non-coding RNA (270 nucleotides) under Mytilus galloprovincialis (Mediterranean mussel). The record is from RNAcentral. Lineage: Eukaryota; Metazoa; Mollusca; Bivalvia; Mytilida; Mytilidae.
UGUCUAAAUAUUGAUGUGCUUCAGACAGACAGACGCUCAUAAAAAAGGGUUACCAUUUAUUUUUACAUUGUGGGCAACAUCGAAGGAUAAUAAAGAAAUCCAUAAGGACAUAUAAGAAACAAUAUUUAUCAGCAUGAACAUGAAAUAAAAGCCUUAAGGUGGCUCACCCCAAUAGUGAACCCCAGUAGAUUUUGUUUAUUUUCACAUAUUCUGUAGAUUUUUUUAUGCUGAAUCCAAAAAUGCAAAGAAAAAAGGGGUCACCAAACUUGU